AUUGUUGAAAGGGAAGCGCUUGUGACCAGACUUGGGCGCGGCGGAUCAUCCGGGGUUCUCCCCGGUGCACUUCGCCGUGUUCAGGCCAGCAUCAGUUCGGCGCGGGGGAAAAAGGCUUCGGGAACGUGGCUCCUCCGGGAGUGUUAUAGCCCGUUGCAUAAUACCCUGCGCUGGACUGAGGACCGCGCAUCUGCAAGGAUGCUGGCGUAAUGGUCACCAGCGAC
This 224-nucleotide ribosomal RNA is filed under the name Trichoderma sp. Its description in RNAcentral is "partial large subunit ribosomal RNA". Lineage: Eukaryota; Fungi; Ascomycota; Sordariomycetes; Hypocreales; Hypocreaceae. The record is from RNAcentral.